This 395-nucleotide unclassified non-coding RNA is filed under the name Hevea brasiliensis (rubber tree). Lineage: Eukaryota; Viridiplantae; Streptophyta; Magnoliopsida; Malpighiales; Euphorbiaceae. The record is from RNAcentral.
AUUAUCAAUGCUAAAGGCAUAAAUGGUUACAUACCUCACUCCCAACUCAUAGCAAUAAGUUAGUGUUCUCAGAAGAGCUAAAUAUCCUGCCUUGUAACCUUCUGCUUCGUUCAUUUUAUGCUUCUUAGCAAACCUCCGGUUUCCAUCCAAUAUGAAGGCAAGAUGAGUAGGAAUGGGACCUUGGGUUAGGAUGCGAUAUAACCCUUUUCUCAUAAAUUUCCCAAAAAGUUUAAACACACUUGGCCUCUGACCCGUAUAUAUUUCCAUUUUCCUUAAACCCAAAUCCGGAUGCUAAACUUCACCCGAAGCCUGCAUGUGACUCGGCAAAUCCUCCAAGAUCAAAUCUGGAUUGUCACUUAAGCACUCGAUCAAAUGAGCAAUCUUAAUGGAACACA